UACGUAGGCAGCGAGCGUUGUUCGGAGUUACUGGGCGUAAAGGGCGUGUAGGCGGUCCGGUAAGUUUGGUGUGAAAUCUCCCGGCUCAACUGGGAGGGUGCGCCGGAUACUGAGGGGCUAGAGUGCGGGAGGGGACAGUGGAAUUCCUGGUGUAGCGGUGAAAUGCGUAGAUAUCAGGAGGAACACCGGUGGUGCAAACGGCUUUCUGGACCGUAACUGACGCUGAGACGCGAAAGCGUGGGGAGCGAACAGG
RNAcentral lists this ribosomal RNA (253 nucleotides) under uncultured bacterium. RNAcentral describes it as "partial 16S ribosomal RNA". It matches the Rfam family "Bacterial small subunit ribosomal RNA", at positions 524 to 776 of the family's 1533-position model. The record is from RNAcentral.